GAUGAACGCUGGCGGCGUGCCUAAUACAUGCAAGUCGAGCGAACGGACGAGAAGCUUGCUUCUCUGAUGUUAGCGGCGGACGGGUGAGUAACACGUGGAUAACCUACCUAUAAGACUGGGAUAACUUCGGGAAACCGGAGCUAAUACCGGAUAAUAUUUUGAACCGCAUGGUUCAAAAGUGAAAGACGGUCUUGCUGUCACUUCUAGAUGGAUCCGCGCUGCAUUAGCUAGUUGGUAAGGUAACGGCUUACCAAGGCAACGAUGCAUAGCCGACCUGAGAGGGUGAUCGGCCACACGGGAACGGAGACACGGUCAAGACUCCUACGGGAGGCAGCAGUCGGGAAUCGUCCGCAAUGGGCGAAAGCCUGACGGAGCAACGCCGCGUGAGUGAUGAAGGUCUUCGGAUCGUAAAACUCUGUUAUUAGGGAAGAACAUAUGUGUAAGUAAAUGUGCACAUCGUGACGGUACCUAAUCAGAAAGCCACGGCUAACUACGUG
RNAcentral lists this ribosomal RNA (497 nucleotides) under uncultured bacterium. RNAcentral's name for it is "partial 16S ribosomal RNA". It matches the Rfam family "Bacterial small subunit ribosomal RNA", at positions 28 to 507 of the family's 1533-position model. The record is from RNAcentral.